GUCCCUACGGGACGCAGCAGUGGGGAAUAUUGGGCAAUGGGCGCAAGCCUGACCCAGCAACGCCGCGUGAAGGAAGAAGGCUUUCGGGUUGUAAACUUCUUUUAUCAGGGACGAAGCAAGUGACGGUACCUGAUGAAUAAGCCACGGCUAACUACGUGCCAGCAGCCGCGGUAAUACGUAGGUGGCAAGCGUUAUCCGGAUUUACUGGGUGUAAAGGGCGUGUAGGCGGGAGUGCAAGUCAGCUGUGAAAACUAUGGGCUCAACCCAUAGCCUGCCUUUGAAACUGUACUUCU
RNAcentral lists this ribosomal RNA (293 nucleotides) under uncultured bacterium. RNAcentral's name for it is "partial 16S ribosomal RNA". It matches the Rfam family "Bacterial small subunit ribosomal RNA", at positions 335 to 642 of the family's 1533-position model. The record is from RNAcentral.